RNAcentral lists this transfer RNA (38 nucleotides) under Picris pauciflora. RNAcentral's name for it is "partial tRNA-His". Lineage: Eukaryota; Viridiplantae; Streptophyta; Magnoliopsida; Asterales; Asteraceae. The record is from RNAcentral.
GAUGUAGCCAAGUGGAUCAAGGCAGUGGAUUGUGAAUC